Molecule: non-coding RNA, 10269 nt
Organism: Xyrichtys novacula (pearly razorfish)
Lineage: Eukaryota; Metazoa; Chordata; Actinopteri; Labriformes; Labridae
Source: the annotation of a GenBank genome assembly
CAUGUUCUUAUGUUCAUUUUUCUGACGCUACAGGACAUAUCAUGGAGCGAAAUUGCAUCUCUGAGUAUUUUCACAUUAUAAUCGCUGUGAAUCUCUGGCAGACCCAAAUGGUGGGCUCAGACACAGUGAGAUUUCCUACAUCACAAAUCCAAGCUCCGCCCCUCAGAGCAGGCCAGACUCAGAAAAGUAGAGAGGACGAUCGUGGAACAAGCGUGUGCGUUGGUGAAUUGUAAAGCCCGUAAGAAAGCUAAUUGUGAUAUUAAUUUUCAUCAUGUUCUCAAACACAAUAGUGUCUGAGAGCUGAAUAGCUAUGGUGACCAUAUUCUGGCUUUGCAAAAAUAGGACAAGACUAUGCAGGGGCAGAGUCAUGGAGUCGCACCAAGUUAAUUUUGAGUUUUUCAAGUCAAAAUCAAAACUUAAGUAAAAACCACGGACAUUUGAAGAAUUUUAUAAACUUCCCUGGACAAAGCAGACUCGGACAGCCCCCCAAAAAUAGGACAUGUCGGGGUAAAAAAAGACAUAUGGUCACCCUUUAAAUAGCUCCUAUGUUACCUGCCACUUCUACUACAUCGGCAAUGUUAGUCUGCAAGCUAGCGUGAAGUGUGCAGAGCAGCGCUGUCUCUGACUACGACUCAGAGGCGAAUUGCUAAUGAGCUGCUGGAGCUCUGCAGAAGAAAAGCCCUUGAAAAUGACACAGGUAACAUCAUUUUGGCUAAAAACUUCAUAUUUACGACUUUAUGACCACUGAGAACACUUAAAAAAACGAUAGGAGUGGGACUUUAAAUACAUGAAACACUGUGUAGUGUUGAAGUAAAUCCUUUGAAAACAGAUAUACGAUACUGCUCUGGGGGUUGAAUUAAUUUUAUGUUGUAUUUAGUGACCCAACAAUACAACAAAAGAAAAACAGUCAGUCAUGAACUGUUUUUCCAACAUUUGGCGCCUGUUCCAGGGAAAAAAGCCAACCUCAAUAGACCAUCACACCCCGAACUGUUCAGUCUCACACGUGCCCUCUUGUUUGUCUCGCUCACGUGAUGAAUCUGAGUACCUGCUGAGUUCAUCACGCUGUUCUCUGUCUGCAGUCAUACUCAGCACCUUUAUAAGCUGAUUGUCUCUCAGUCCGUCCUGCAGCUCUGCAGGAGUCUCACAGCUUCAGACGGAGCUGUCAGCAUGUCCUGCAGCUGACUUCUUCACCGGCAGACACGAGUAAUCUCAUCAUGCUAAUUAAUUAAGAAACUCUGAACAACAUACAGGUCCUUCUAUAGUCAGCCUGUUGGAGUUUAGUCUGUUAUAUACUAUUGAAUCUAAUGUGGAUUUCACUAGAGAAUGAGUAAAGUCUAUUUAUCACUUUAUGUCACGUGGCGGAGAAAAGAAAAAAAGACCCAAAUGCAGAAGAAAAAAAUGAUUUAUUAAGAGAAGGAAAUAAAAAGCAACAAAAACGUACUUAAAAAAAACACUAGGAGACGAGCGAUUCACACAUAAAAGAUCAGACACACGCACACACAUUGACAUGCAUUCAAUGAACCAACAAGGACAGAGGGGAAGACAGGGACUAUAUACACACACAGGGAAACGAGCGACAGGUGAGGCAGACGAGACACAGGUGAAACUCAUCAUAGGUGAUUAACGAAGGAGGGAAAACUAGGGAAGUAAAACCAGAAUAGAAACGCAAUGAAUCAACUCCUACAAAAUAAAACAGGAAAUCAACACUGAAAAGUGGGAAACAGGGUCAGACACAAACUGAAAACUCACAAGACUGGACUACAGGAGAACAGGAACACCCCCAGAAAAUACACUCAAAUAACAAAACCAGGGAAAAACUAAAUGAACAGAACUUAUUAUGACACUGUUUAUACUAUAACAUGUUUUUUGCACCCUGUAUAAGUAGACUUUCCUGUUUCAGCUUCCCACAUAGAGAGUAAAAGUGAACCAGACUUCCUUUUGGAUGCAGAAAAUGGCGGUAAAUACAGCAGCUGUGCCUGUAUGACACCUUCUGUCUAUCCUGUAAUUGUACUUUGAACAUCACAGUCAGAAAAAAUCACCUCAAAACAACAAAUAAAGACGUAUCAUUUCCCUUGAGUAACUAUACUUUUAAGGCUUGUCUCGGAGAGUCAGUGGAAAAUAUACUGCAUGUUAUUUUUGUGAGUUUUAUCGAAAACUUCAAUAGUGUGCCAUAUCAUGUCAUUAAAAUGUCAAAUUUAUCAUUUUAAUUGGAACAAUCCCAUCUGAUUUAACACAUUUUCCAAAUAUACAGCAAAAAAUCUAUUAUUGACAGUUUUAACCACAUCACGUAGUGUUAAGUAAUACUUGACCAACACUUGGUCGACCCUUAUUAAAAGCUACAAGGAGACCUCAUCUUUGUGCAGUUGUAUCUUAAAAUUGUGCCAACAAAAAGGCGCAUACAUUCGGUGACUGAGACGUUGGGUUGGAUGAGAUUUGUCACUGUUGGCUGAUGUGAAGAUGUUAAAGGUAGGGUUGGUAAUCACAAUAAAACUAGCAUGAAUUUGAAUGUAGUAUCUCCUCAGCACUUCGUCUGGAUUUGAUUGGUUUAAAAAUGUGGGACCCACACGAUGUGAUUGGUUGGUGUUUUCCCAGUUUUGCUCCUGCUGUAGAUAAUGGCUAAGUUUCGCUCUUUUCAAGAACACAUCAUGUAUUGAUCGCCAUCGGAACAUAAAGAUCAUUUGAACCAUAAAAACAAAAAGAGUAUCUAAAUCGGAUUACCAACCCUACCUUUAAGAUAACCCUACCUUUUGAUUUUAGGUUCUCAUUUACUUCAUAAUAAGCCCAGGCAAGAUAUCUUUUGCCACUAAUGUUGGUUUAUAGAAAAAAAGGCCCUAGUAUUAUCCAUGACAGAUAUCACGUUCACUGCCACUUAUCUGUUUGCACAUUUCACAACUCAGUACCGUGCAACAAUAGCCUUACUCAGGCUGCAGGAUGGUGGUCAUUUCCUGGCCUUAGAGGCGGUCUGCAGGUCCUGGGGUAAUGAGCUAAUCUGUCAGUGGACAUGCCUCAAGUCACAACAGCCCAUCGUGGCCCUCAGCUCUGCGCCUCAUUAUAUAAGUCCUGCUGUCCCAUUUCCACCCUCCAUCCUGUACGUUCAUCACCCGGGUGGAGGACCUCUGGGGUAAAGAAAGUAAGCUCUGGCUCCUUCUUUUGGUUUGUAGCUCCAUGAAUAAUAGAUUCAAAAACACUCCUGUACUUUAACUCAUCCAUGCAUACAUUGUUUUCUGUUUCUCUCAGCGUGUACAAAAAAAACGUGAAAUUCAGACUCCAGGUCCACUACAGUAAGAUGAAUAUUUCAGAGCUCUUAUGCAACCUCCUCAAUUGGCCAGUCAGCAUAACUCUGAGCCGCUGCUUUCACCCAGCUACAUGAGACAGGCAGGAAUGCAGCGGCACUUUUACUGUCUCCAGCACAGCACUUAACAGUGUCCCAUGACGCAGCUUUAUAGUUUUAUCAUGUCCCCGAAAAUAUGCGUCCAGGCCAGGAGGAAGGAGGGGAAGUGACUUUAAUUAGCCGAGUGCCCGGCACCGAGCGUACAGAGCAUGAAGGCCAGCUGGUCUGCGCACAGAGGAGGCAGACAGCUAAUAUCCCUGGUGACUUUACUUAUUAACCACUCUGUCAUUUCAAUCUUGAGGACCAGAUGACAAGAUAAUGAAGAGGAGGAGAGGUAAAGAUGGAUUUUUGGUCCUGAUGAAAAUUUAUGAUGUAUGGUUUGAAACCAAAGAGGAAACCUGGACCUGAUGACGGCUCAAAAUAAAGAGUUAAGAAAAUGUGCAUCUUAAAGGGAACGCAAAUGUCUGCAGCAAUUUUAGGGUGUAAAUACGAUGAAUCACCAAAGUAAUUCACUAAAAAAACCUCAGAUGUCAAUGUUAUGAUGAUACUAGAGGAAGGUUCAGGACUUCAUCAAGGUCUUAAAAGGCCCACUCUGAAGAUAAUCACGUUUUUCAUGUUCAUAGGUUCAUUUUUUAUGCUACAGGACAUAUCAUGAGAAAAGUAAUUGCAAAAUUGCAUUUCUGAGUAUUUCUGCAGACCCAAAUGGCAGGUUCAGACACAGUGAGAUUUCCUAUGUCACAAAUCCAAGCUCCGCCCCCUGGAGCCCUGCUAUGCAGGCCAGACUCGCAAAAGUAGAGAGGACGAUCGCAGAACAAGCAUGUGAGUUAACGGAUAGCGAUGCUUGUAUGAAAGCUUAUUAUAAUAUUAACUUAAAUCAUGUCCCCAAAGACAUUAGUGUCCGAGAGCUGAAUAGAUCCUAUGUUACUUGACACUUCUAUUACAUCGGCUAGGUUAGGCAGCAAGCUAGCAUGAAGAGGAGUGUGCAGAGCUGCGCUGUCUCCGCCCACGACUCAGAGGAGAAUUGCUCAUGAGUUACUGGAGCUCUGCAGAAAAAAAGCUCUUGAAAUGACACAGGUAAUGCAAUUUUGACCCAAGAUCAUGAAUAUCAGGAGAGAAUUUCAUGACCAUCCAACUGAUAACCAACCAAAUUUCCCCUUGUAGGACCAAUGAAGGAGUAUCUUUUCUAAGAUGCAGGGGCUAUGGCAGGGGGACACCCUGGACAAGACGCCAGUCCAUCGCAGGGCUGACAUAUAGAGAUGAACAACCAUCCACGCUCACAUUCACACCUACGGGCAAUUUGAAAGUGGCCAGUUAACCUAAGCCCACUCAGGCAUGUUUUUGGGAUGUAGGAGGAAACUGGAGUACUCGGAGUAAACCCACACAGGCACAGGGAGAACAUGCAAACUCCACACAGAAACGCCCUGACCCGGAUUUGAACCCAGGACCUUCUUGCUGUGAGGCGACAGUGCUAACCACUACACCACUGUGUUGCCCUAGAUCAGCGACUUAUCUACUUCAACCAAAUAUUGAACCCUUUAGAACUGAACUUGAUGUUCUUGUUCUUUCUUAUGUUGUUCAUCAAUUCGUAAAAACAACUGAAUCAUCUGUCCGAUGAACUCUGAGGUUGACUCACUGUUUUGUGGGAUGAAAUUAAAGAGGAAGCACUGCGCUGCCCUUUGACCUCUGGACCUGACCUCACCUUCUUCUCUGGAAAAUGUUCCCACUGGUUCCCAUGCUCACCCUAUGAAUCAGACGGUUCAAUCACGCACAGCUCUGAUUUGAUGAGCUUCAGGGGAGAUACAAACAGAUGAUGGUCUUCCAUGUAAUCCCACUGAAGACAAUAGAAGCCCAGGGCAGCAGGCUUAAAUUAGUGCACUCUCGUAGUGGCCUUGUUGCACCGUCUUCCUGUCCAGAGCCGUGAGCAAGCAGUAACUCUCCAGGAAGGGCAAGGGAUCGUGGGAACCGGAGUGUCAACGCAGCCUAGGCCACGUUCAGGCGAAAGCUCCUUUUAGAGAACAACAUGACCAACUCUGCAAACAUCAUAGGAAGGGAAAAGAAACCAGAGGGGAAGCUGGAGAACAAUGAAGACGUGGAUGUGACACCACUGCUCGGCUGGGAACCAAAAACUCUGUUGUACUCGAGUCCAAGCCAGGUUCUCUGAAAUUCAUUGACAAAAAAUAAGGCCCAGUUCCCACGGGGACCUUUCCCACGCUGCGACUCAUGUUGUAUAUUUAUUCUGCUCUUGUCAAACAGCUUCCCCUUCUAGCUUGUACACUGCAUGUUUGUGUUUUCUUAUCUUUGUGGACGUGUUGUUAGUUUGAACUUGAUCCUGGCUUUAUGCAGGCCUUCUAGCCGCUGACCUUUCAGUAGAGAUUGGGGUUUCUUUGGCUGUUAUCCUCACCACGCAGAGAAAUGUAUACUCUACAUCUUUGUGGCUGCUUACAAUACCUGGAAAAACUUUGUUUUAGGGGUUAAAAACAUUGUGAUUUUAGUCAGAAAACACCACAAGCCUACGGCUAUCAUUCCAGUGAAGAUAUGUCACUUUCAAGUUCUCCAAAACAGGUUUUUCUGACCUCUCUACAGGUAUGGGAAAAGGUUGGCUUCUUGGAAGUGUCUACUCUAAAAAAGAUCUAAUUUAGUCUGAGCCCUUUUUUAUUUAGAUUUUACCCAGUUUUGUUCUUCAGUAUCACAGCAAAUAUUUAAUCAAGGAUCACAGUCACCAGUGACACAUUGAAAAUAGUGGUCUGGGUCUUAAGGACAACAGCGUCUGUCAGAUAUCAGUCAGCUCCAGCAGAAUCAGGGCUGUGCAAAUUUACCAGACUUAAUAACCCUUGCUAGUCUGCGCUUAGUCAGUUGAGUUGAUUUUGCAUUUUUAAUAUUGGUCACAUCUGUCUAAACUCAUACUAACUGUAUAGUAAAUGGACAUCGUACCAGUGAUGUCACCUGUUUGUUUGUGAAGCAGGGUUUGAGGCCUUUCUAAGGUAGUUGACCUUAUUUAGGGUGACAAUAUUCUGGAUCCCAGAAAAAGAGGACACAACUACGCGGGGGCGGAGUCACUGAGUCGCACGAGGUUAAUUUUGAGAGUUUCUGGGGUCAGCUUGAGUGUCUUUUAAGCGCUUCUAACUCAGUAAAUCCAUGUGACACAAACUCAAAACUUCCGUACAAAACCGCGGACAUUAGAAGGAUUUUAUAAACUUCCCUGGACAAAGCCGGACAGCCCCCCAAAAAGAGGACAUGUCCUGGUAAAAGAGGACGUAUGGUCACCCCAGGUAAGGCUGACUCUAACUGUUGGUCAACCUAGCAAAGGCGGGUCUUUGGCGUCCUCUAAAUAGCUACAGUGCGCAUGCCUGCUUUUUAAGUUGUGCAUCUGAUUUCACGGGAACCCCCAGCUAUUUCCCCCCGGCUGUACAUGGGUUUAUUUUCACUCUAAAAAUCUGCAUUUUUGGCUUAGUGUGUAUGGGUGUCCGGUCCUUCUGAAGCCACCCUCUAGAGGGCACUAAGGGAACUGCAGUUUUUAGCACUUUGGCAUUACCUUCAUUUCUCGAGACUAGAGGUUGCGGCUUGUUGAACUGGCCAAAACCACUUCAUGCAUUACCAGCAAAUGUAGGCGUCUUAUCUUUGGUCUCAACAGUUUUUGAUAAUUCAAAGUUUUGUUGUAGCGACCAUGAAAUUGAUCACUCUGGCACAUCAGCUCUGGGUUGUUUUUUUUUUGCCUCUGUAAUCAGAGCUGCACAGCCUGAAUACCAGCACAUUAAGAUGACCAGACGUCCCCGAUUUCUGGGGACAGUCCCUGUAUUGGAUGACCUGUCCCCAGCUAAAGCUGUCCCCGGAAAUGUCCCCGAUUUAAGCAUUUUAUGAAUGAGAACAAAAAUUUUGCAUGUAGAGUAUAUAACAAUGCGGUUAAUACGGUAGCCGAGUAGGUAGGAAGCAGGAGUGAGCAUGUUGCGCACAGUCCUGAACAACAGUUUUUACGGAGGACAUGCACUGCUACUAAGUAGUACCAAGAUGUCAGAAAUCCUGUCACUUUACAGCACAUGCCGUCCAUUGUUUCUUCAGAUACUCUAAAGCUGCUCCCUUUGAAAUGUCUCUAAACCUUCUUUUUAACACGACACAGUCCUUAAUUUGUUUUUUUUCAAUGUUUUCAAACAACUUUUAAUGUUACAUCCUGGUUUGUGCUCUCUGGAUUAUGUUGAGGAAAAGAUUCUGCAGAUUCAAAAUAUACAAGUCUAUGCUAGGGCUACAUCCAAUCAUCUGGUGAGGAAUUUUAUUGAGGUCCAGAUGAUAAACAAGAACUGGAAUUUACUGAGUAACCGAGAGGCUGAAUAUGAAACCACUGAGGCUCAAAGGUUUGUAAUUCUGCCAAACACUGUAACUGAGAGAGGAAGGAUAGCCUCGGCUCUUCAAACAAAAACUUGUGAAGGAGCUUAAAGAGGUCCGACAAUUUCUACAACAAUUCACCAUUCAGGUCUUUGCUACAGAGAGUAAGAGGCUCAGAGAGAACCAGGCCAAACGUGACAGAUGCCUGAGGAGAAAACUCAAGUUUCAGCAAAACAAUUCAAAACACAUGGAAAACACUGGAGCGCCUCUGGGGCAAAUAUCUCAGUGUCGCUCUGAGAAAUGAUUGGACUGUAGGACACCAUAAAAAAAGGAGAAAAGGUUGCAUGUGAGUAUCUAAAUAGGCAAACACUUUUUUUUAAAUCAUAUUCAAUAUAAAUUUUUACAAACUGCAUCUUUACUUGACCUCUAUUGUCAGCACCAAAAGAAUCAUUAAUGUUACUUGAAAACAAGACCUGUCCAACAGCAUGUUUCUCUGCUGUCUCACUGGCCUGUAGAUUAAUAUCUUAGCAAAGGAAUGAGGAGAGUUCUCACAGAAAUAUUCCAGUUUUAACCUCUUGGUGCCUUAUUUCACUUUAGCUCCAGAAAAAAACAUCAGUCAGUAAGUUUACAGGCUCUCCAAAAAAAUCAAACUAUUGCUCUAAUCUGACUGAAACUAGACUAGACUGCAGAUGAAUGUUGACGACUGCUUGCUUCUCUAGUUAUACCAACUUUAGUAAUGACCGCAGGAUAGCAAUACACAGCGGUCUGAGGAGCCAUAAACAAACCUCAACCAAAACGCCACUCUAUAGCCACAAAUAAUGCUCAGAACAGCACCUAACUUCAUCAACAGGACAUAUAGGGUCACAGCCACCAAACAUCUUUUUAAUUUUGACUGAUUUCUUUAGCAAAGAGACUAAACACAACUCACCUACUCUCUUCCAGCAGCUGCUUGUUUGUAGCGAGACCUCAGGCCAGUCCAUUACGGACUAUAGUGGGGUGACGCAGCUCAAGGAAGAACAUUUAUGAUCAUUUCUUUAUCAUUUCCUUUAAGUAAUAAUCAUCAUAUUAAUCAUUUUGCGCUGCAGACGCGGUAGUUCUUCUGUCUUAGCGUCUCGGUCUGAUUGCACUUCCAUGAAGUAAUAAUCAUAAAUGUUUUUCCUUGAGCUGCAAAACUCUACUGCACUCGGAGAUCGACUCGUCAGGGCUUACCCACAAACAAGCAGCUGCUGGAGGAGAGUAGGUGAGUUGUCUUUGGAUUCUUUGCUAAAGAAAUGAGUCAAAGUUAAAAAUAUGUUUCGUGGCUAGUACUAAAGCUGGGACCUUAUAUGUACUGUUGAUGAAGUUAGGUGCUGUUCUGAGCAUUAUUUGUGGCGUUUUGAUUUAAGUUUGUUUAUGGUUCCUCAGACCGCUGUGUAUUGCUAUCCUGCGGUCGUUACUAAAGUUGGUAUAACUAGAGAAGCAAGCGGUCAGCAACGUUCAUCUCUCGAGGGGGUGUCUGACUCGGUGUUACGGUGUGUUUGACCCUAAAUUAAUUUUACGCUGGAAUAUCCCUUUAAGAACACCUCAAGUAUUGAUUGCUAUCGGAACAUAAAGAUCAUUUUAACCAGAAUAACAAAACCAUAUCUAAAUGAGAUUACCAACCCUACCUUUGACUACAGCAGAUUAGGACCAUGGCCUCUGUAUAUGGGGGAUGAAAUCAAACAGCCGUAGACACUGGCACUCCUUAACUCAAUUUUUGGCUCUUUUCCAGCCUCAUUUGAUCUUCGUUUAACAUAUACUUAUAUGAGGGUUUACAGUGUUUAAAGUUCAUAUGAAACUAGAACAAUGAGCUGCAGAUGAUAUAACACUGUUGGUGAGUUUGACUGAGUAAUCAGCUUUAUUUCCAGAUAUUCGAUUGUCCCAGAUAAAGCUUUUCUCGCUCAGCUACUACAUAAUUUUCAGAAUGGGGACACAAACAAAAAUCUGCCCCACUGCUCCCUUACGGGAUGGCAGGAUGUGGGCGUUUGAUCCUGCGGUGUGACAGAAAAACCUCCACGCUUCAUGUUGUGUUGUGAUUCUCUCCAGUGUUCUUCUAAUCUCGCUGACAAAGCCUCUUGCAGGAAGCUAUGCCAGAUAUGUCCGGCCCGUCACGGCUUUACCAGCACGGCCAGUAAGUGAAGAAUAACAGUGUUUCACCGGACAAUCCCCAAUCGCCACAAACGAGGCCAAACCGAACAACAGAGGGUUUAACCAAGACCACGGUUGUGCCGACUCCAGGGAAUUCUUUCCAUAUUUUGCUCCUGGUGAGUCACUGGAUGCCUGAGUGAAUCUGGGCAAAACAAGGACUGCAGGGCACACAUCCCACUUUCUGUAGCACAUCAAAAAGUUUCUCUUGGCCGGGUUUGUGUUUUGCAAUCGUGAAGCCCAUUUUGCUUCAAUAACUUAUUAAAACAAUACAAAAAUUACUCACAAACUUUUACUUUGAACCUUUAUAGAAGAAAUAUUUAUCAGCAGAUUCUCAUUUCAGACUUGACUAAAGGCUCAUUGAAACAGAAAUAGAUCAUCUGAUUUUAUUUUACACGGGGUAAAUCUGUCCAAAUUAUACUCUGAUUAUAGCACUAACACGCUCCUCUGUAAUUUGG